CCCGUUAAGGGAGAUUGUGGGAAUCCAUCGGGGCAAGGUGGUUGUGGGUAUGCACUGGGGUAAGGUGGUUGUGGGUAUGCGCCGGGGUAAGGUGCUUGUGGGUAUGCACCAGGGUAAGGAGGUUGUGGGUAUGCACCACCAACAUUUGGUUGCGGAUAGUAUCCACCCAUAGAAGGUGGCGACUGCUCGUCAAGAUCUUCUUUCUCCGCUAUCUUCUUUUGUUUUCUUGACCAAUAACGCUUUUUAUUUGGCGUCAUUUUACUUGUAUCAAUCUCUAUAAUACGCUCUUCCCUCUCUUUAUUUCGCUCUUCCCUCUCUUUAAUUCGAUCUUGCCUUUCUUGAAAUAGGAGUUGCUCUUUUCGUAUUUCGA
Molecule: long non-coding RNA, 370 nt
Filed under: Rosa chinensis
Lineage: Eukaryota; Viridiplantae; Streptophyta; Magnoliopsida; Rosales; Rosaceae
Description: sRNA RchiOBHm_Chr7g0181281
Source: RNAcentral